Molecule: ribosomal RNA, 373 nt
Filed under: uncultured bacterium
Lineage: Bacteria
Description: bacterial SSU rRNA
Rfam family: Bacterial small subunit ribosomal RNA
Source: RNAcentral
AUACGGAGGAUCCAAGCGUUAUCCGGAAUCAUUGGGUUUAAAGGGUCCGUAGGCGGAUUAGUAAGUCAGGGGUGAAAGUUUGCGGCUUAACCGUAAAAUUGCCUUUGAUACUGCUAGUCUUGAAUAAUUAUGAAGUAGCUAGAAUAUGUAGUGUAGCGGUGAAAUGCUUAGAUAUUACAUGGAAUACCGAUUGCGAAGGCAGGUUACUAAUAAUUUAUUGACGCUGAUGGACGAAAGCGUGGGGAGCGAACAGGAUUAGAUACCCUGGUAGUCCACGCUGUAAACGAUGGAUACUAGCUGUUUGACCGCAAGGUUGAGUGGCUAAGCGAAAGUGAUAAGUAUCCCACCUGGGGAGUACGUUCGCAAGAAUGAA